This is a small nuclear RNA of Orcinus orca (killer whale), 106 nucleotides long. NCBI's taxonomy places the organism in Eukaryota, Metazoa, Chordata, Mammalia, Artiodactyla, Delphinidae. The record is from RefSeq and is a predicted model, not a curated record.
GUGCUUGCUUGGCAGCACAUAUACUAAAAUUGGAAUGAUACAGAGAAGACUAGAAUGGCUCCUGCAGAAGGAUGACAUGCAAAUUCAUAAAGUGUUCCAUAUUUUU